AUGAACGCUGGCGGCGUGCUUAACACAUGCAAGUCGAACGGAAAGGCCCAAGCUUGCUUGGGUACUCGAGUGGCGAACGGGUGAGUAACACGUGGGUGAUCUGCCCUGCACUUCGGGAUAAGCCUGGGAAACUGGGUCUAAUACCGGAUAGGACCACUUCUUGGAUGUUGUGGUGGAAAGUUUUCUCGGUGUGGGAUGAGCUCGCGGCCUAUCAGCUUGUUGGUGGGGUAAUGGCCUACCAAGGCGUCGACGGGUAGCCGGCCUGAGAGGGUGUACGGCCACAUUGGGACUGAGAUACGGCCCAGACUCCUACGGGGGGCAGCAGUGGGGAAUAUUGCACAAUGGGCGCAAGCCUGAUGCAGCGACGCCGCGUGGGGGAUGACGGCCUUCGGGUUGUAAACUCCUUUCGCUAGGGACGAAGCGUUUUUGUGACGGUACCUGGAGAAGAAGCACCGGCUAACUACGUG
Molecule: ribosomal RNA, 467 nt
Filed under: uncultured bacterium
Lineage: Bacteria
Description: partial 16S ribosomal RNA
Rfam family: Bacterial small subunit ribosomal RNA
Source: RNAcentral